UGGGGGAUAUUGCACAAUGGGGGGAACCCUGAUGCAGCAACGCCGCGUGAAGGAAGAAGUAAUUCGUUAUGUAAACUUCUAUCGACAGGGAAGAAAGAAAUGACGGUACCUGAAUAAGAAGCCCCGGCUAAUUACGUGCCAGCAGCCGCGGUAAUACGUAAGGGGCGAGCGUUAUCCGGAUUUACUGGGUGUAAAGGGUGAGUAGGCGGCAAUGCAAGUCAUAUGUGAAAUACCGAGGCUUAACUUCGGAGUUGCAUAAGAAACUGCGUAGCUAGAGUGCAGGAGAGGCAAGCGGAAUUCCUAGUGUAGCGGUGAAAUGCGUAGAUAUUAGGAAGAACACCGGUGGCGAAGGCGGCUUGCUGGACUGUAACUGACGCUGAGUCACGAAAGCGUGGGGAGCGAACAGG
This 407-nucleotide ribosomal RNA is filed under the name uncultured bacterium. Its description in RNAcentral is "bacterial SSU rRNA". It matches the Rfam family "Bacterial small subunit ribosomal RNA", at positions 355 to 776 of the family's 1533-position model. The record is from RNAcentral.